Molecule: long non-coding RNA, 579 nt
Organism: Penaeus monodon (black tiger shrimp)
Lineage: Eukaryota; Metazoa; Arthropoda; Malacostraca; Decapoda; Penaeidae
Exons: 4
Source: RefSeq, a predicted model, not a curated record
ACACACCAGCAUUAGCACACUCAUCCCGUCUUCGUGAAAGGAAAAUGCAUCCGUCCGCCUUCGCCUUCGUGUUGGUAAGCCUGCUGUCGGUUUCCCUGGGUUCUGCUCAGGAAUCUGAACAUACCAAGAAGUUACUGGAAGCGCGCAAGACCCUGGAGGAGUUCACCGUGCCCGCUUUGAAGGAUAACUUGAAAAGCCGGUCCAAUGUUGAGUUCUACAUGAAGUGCGUGACUGGCAAAGGGCCCAUGCAACAAUAUUGGCACCGCUCUCAGUAACCUCCUCGCCCCUGGACCCCAGGGAACGAAGUUCUGCGGCGGCUGUACUGAAAACGAGAAGGUGCGAGUGAAGGUCGUGUUGGACACUCUGGAAGCCGAUUACAAGGACCUGGCGUGCGAGCUUCACAACUUCAGCAAGAUUCCUCUCUUCUCGCAAAAUCCCUGCGCUUGAAGCACGAGAUCGCAAGGCAUCAUCACGUGAAGGCGAGAGUAAUCACGAAUUAAUUACGAUUCAAUUCAAGGAUGACGAUGUGGCUUCAUGUGCUUGUACAGCUUGUGUAGUAAAUGUUUAUCUCGAACGGGA